GAGCUAACAGCGUUAAGUAGACCGCCUGGGGAGUACGGUCGCAAGAUUAAAACUCAAAUGAAUUGACGGGGGCCCGCACAAGCGGUGGAGCAUGUGGUUUAAUUCGAUGCAACGCGAAGAACCUUACCUACUCUUGACAUCCAGAGAACUUUCCAGAGAUGGAUUGGUGCCUUCGGGAACUCUGAGACAGGUGCUGCAUGGCUGUCGUCAGCUCGUGUUGUGAAAUGUUGGGUUAAGUCCCGCAACGAGCGCAACCCUUAUCCUUGUUUGCCAGCGAGUAAUGUCGGGAACUCCAGGGAGACUGCCGGUGAUAAACCGGAGGAAGGUGGGGACGACGUCAAGUCAUCAUGGCCCUUACGAGUAGGGCUACACACGUGCUACAAUGGCGCAUACAGAGGGCGGCCAACUUGCGAAAGUGAGCGAAUCCCAAAAAGUGCGUCGUAGUCCGGAUUGGAGUCUGCAACUCGACUCCAUGAAGUCGGAAUCGCUAGUAAUCGUGGAUCAGAAUGCCACGGUGAAUACGUUCCCGGGCCUUGUACACACCGCCCGUCACACCAUGGGAGUGGGCUGCAAAAGAAGUAGGUAGUUUAACCUUCGGGGGGACGCUUACCACUUUGUGGUUCAUGACUGGGGU
This 634-nucleotide ribosomal RNA is filed under the name Vibrio alginolyticus. RNAcentral's name for it is "bacterial SSU rRNA". It matches the Rfam family "Bacterial small subunit ribosomal RNA", at positions 848 to 1481 of the family's 1533-position model. Lineage: Bacteria; Pseudomonadati; Pseudomonadota; Gammaproteobacteria; Vibrionales; Vibrionaceae. The record is from RNAcentral.